AUCUAAUUGACCUGAAUUUCAUGGCAGCAAGAAAGAAGCUAUGUUGAGGUCAUGCGAGGCCAUCACACACCUGCAUGCUCUCCACAGAUCCAGGGUUUUGUUGUGACAGACCGGAUCAUCGCGUUUUCUCUGUCGGUGGAACUUGCAUCGCUGUGUCAUCACCAUGGAUCAGGUUGCUCACAGGUUCGCAACGGAUCCGGAGACUAUACCAGGAACACCUGGCACGACGAAGGAAGAUACCCUACGACCUGGAUGGUACAUUCUAGUACUGGGGAGAGAUGAUUUGAAAAGGUACCGAUCCUACAGCUAGCCGAUAUCCUGUCAGGGUUAUCUUAUCUGUGGCUAAUUAAGCGAUGCAUGUUAGCCAUGUGAUCUGUCUGUUCUCACUGGCUCAAGAACAAAAGUCAUCAGUCCAAACAACGGUGAUCUAAUUGGAGGUUCGAUUGGGCCGAGGGAUAUGAUGUCACCACGUGGAAGUACUUUGAUGGGCAUAAGGGUACCGGGGGCAGCUAGGCAGGACAAUGAGGCAUUAUGCACACCACGCCGUCGAUUUCUAUCUGCACAGGGACACCCGGGAUAGUGCAUCAUUCUCUGAUGAAAGCACCCUGCACCCUUAGCACCACCUGAUUAGAACACUUCCACCAUAGAACAGCUGAAACAGACAUGAAUGACCUGACUGUAAAUGUGUGUUGUUGUACAUUGUCAUGCUGGCAAUAAACAUUUAGUUUACGGUUAUGAUUUUGCUUGUAAUAUGAGCAUUUCCGUUUUUGAUGUCUUCAAAAUGUAAUGUAAGGGCUUAUGCGACUUUGAAGCUAGACUGCCACCUG
Ictalurus punctatus (channel catfish) is the source of this 827-nucleotide long non-coding RNA. NCBI's taxonomy places the organism in Eukaryota, Metazoa, Chordata, Actinopteri, Siluriformes, Ictaluridae. The record is from Ensembl.